RNAcentral lists this small RNA (392 nucleotides) under Tannerella forsythia 3313. Its description in RNAcentral is "Acido-Lenti-1 RNA". Lineage: Bacteria; Pseudomonadati; Bacteroidota; Bacteroidia; Bacteroidales; Tannerellaceae. The record is from RNAcentral.
GAAAAGUGAAAAACUAAAAAUGAAAAGUGAUGCCCUUCGGGCGUUUAACUGUUGUGCUGUUGAAUGGUUGAGUUGUUUGAUUGUUGGAUGGAAGCUGAUGGCUGAUUGCUGAAUACUGACCGAUAAAUUACAUCAGGCUUACAGCCCUCUGAACAAGGUGGGCAUGGACCCCACCCUUACGGGAUGGGGCUGAAACAGAACGGGCUUUCAGCCCUUGUAUGCCCUUGGGGCGUUUGAACAAUGGUCAAUGGUUAAUGGUCAAUGGUUAUACGUGGUACAGACCAAAUCAUGUACUCUGCAUGAUAAUUGACAAUUAAAUUACGCUGGCUGCUGAACGCUAACUAACCAACAACUAAAUAUCUAAACACUCGAAGGGGAAUAUGGCCUUAAAC